This 64-nucleotide transfer RNA is filed under the name Phlogotettix sp. EMHAU-2015-Zz052705. Its description in RNAcentral is "tRNA-Phe". The record is from RNAcentral. Lineage: Eukaryota; Metazoa; Arthropoda; Insecta; Hemiptera; Cicadellidae.
GUUUUUGUAGCUUAUAUAAGAGCAUUUCAGUGAAGUUGAUAAGGAAAUAAUUUAUUUAAAAACA